UGACUCAACACGGGAAAUUUUACCCCGGACAGCACAUGAUUAGGAUUGUCAGAUUGAGAGCUCUUGCAUGAUUUCAUGGAGGGUGGUGCAUGGCCGUUCUUGGUUGGUGGAGUGAUUUGUCUGCUUAAUUGCGAUAACGAACGAGAUCUCUGCCAAUAAAUAGAUGCCUCUUCCGCUUGUACACGAUGGUCCUCGUGGCUUGCCUCGGGGUAUCCCAAAGUGGAGGAGGAGGAGUUUUACUUAUUGGGAUUAUGCAUUCUUCCAAAUGCAUUGAGACGAGAGCCAAUAGCAGGUCUGUGAUGCUCCUAAAUGUCCUGGGCCGCACGCGCACUACACUGAUCCAGACAACAAGCUCAUGCUUUUGCAUCCUGAGUUGAAAAGCUCUGGGAAAUCUUUUAAGCCUGGAUCGUGAUGGGGAUAGAUGAUUGCAAUUAUUCCUCUUGAACGAGGAAUGUCUCGUAGUCCCGUUUCAUCAGAACGGAACGAUUAUGUCCCUGCCAUUUGUACACACCGCCCGUCGUUGCUACCGAUUGGUUUGCUGGUAGAACCAUUUGGAGGGGGCUCUUGGUGUUCUCUGAACAUCUCGAGUCCGCAAAAUUUGGUGAUAUUGGCUAACUAGAGGAAGCAAAAGUCGUAACAAGGUUACU
Molecule: ribosomal RNA, 647 nt
Filed under: uncultured eukaryote
Lineage: Eukaryota
Description: bacterial SSU rRNA
Rfam family: Eukaryotic small subunit ribosomal RNA
Source: RNAcentral